Aethalodelphis obliquidens (Pacific white-sided dolphin) is the source of this 727-nucleotide long non-coding RNA. RefSeq lists it as uncharacterized. The record is from RefSeq and is a predicted model, not a curated record. The transcript is spliced from 3 exons. NCBI's taxonomy places the organism in Eukaryota, Metazoa, Chordata, Mammalia, Artiodactyla, Delphinidae.
CGCCUCCCCAGGUGCCGGCGCGGCCCGGAGACUCCGCCGCUCCAAGUUCGCCCGCGGUCGCACGAGCUUGAACGCAUCCCGCAGUUGGCGGACAGCCAGUUGGUCUCAGUGAAGGAGUUUGGGUGUUUCUCAUGAAGUACCACCGAUCCCUAUGAGAAAUAUGUUUGUAGUGCUCCACGCCUGCUUGGAGAGUCCAAGAACUGCUGAAAACUGAUGGCCCUUGUCCGAGACAACAGGAAAUUUUCAGGUCACGUGUUUCCUUUCCAGAGAGUUGUUUUGUGGAUACAAUGGAGUCUUUAGCAUUCACAAGAUUUAGAGGACUUCAGCAUAAUUUUAUUUUCACAUACCAACAAUCACUUACGGCAAGUACCUUUUCUCUCCUGACCACCAUAGAGCACACUUUUGUUUCCCCAUCCAGUCCCCUGUCUCACUGGCCGCAGCUCUGAAACGGCUGUGUUCUUUACCACAGUCUUCCUGAGACAGGUUGCUGCCUCCUUUUAGGAAUACCCAUGGUAAACCCACCUGAGGAGGGUUUUGACUCAACUAAAACUUCAACCAGCAUCAGAGGCUUUCGAAGUAUAACUGAUAGGUACUAAAAAUGUCAGUAAUGUUGGUAGAUACCACACAAGAAAUUUUAAGCAGAUAAAGCACCGUUUAGCAAAAUUACCUACCAACAUCCUUUUUUUUUUUUUUGUGGUACGCGGGCCUCUCACUGUUAUGGCCUCUC